This 395-nucleotide ribosomal RNA is filed under the name Porphyra umbilicalis (laver). RNAcentral describes it as "SSU rRNA". It matches the Rfam family "Eukaryotic small subunit ribosomal RNA", at positions 54 to 451 of the family's 1831-position model. The record is from RNAcentral. Lineage: Eukaryota; Rhodophyta; Bangiophyceae; Bangiales; Bangiaceae.
CAUGUCUAAGUAUAAACACUUUUAUACACGUGAAACUGCGAAUGGCUCAUUAAACCAGUUAUAGUUUCUUUGAACGUACCUUACUACUUGGAUAACCGUAGUAAUUCUAGAGCUAAUACAUGCCUACACGCCCGACUCACGAAGGGUGGUAUUUAUUAGAUAAAAAACCAAUGCACUUUUGUGCUUUGUGAUGAUUCAUAAUAACUCUCGGAUCGCACGGCCUAGAGCUGGCGACGGUUCAUUCAAAUUUCUGCCCUAUCAACUUUCGAUGGUAGAGUAGUGGUCUACCAUGGUGUCAACGGGUGACGGGGAAUUAGGGUUCGAUUCCGGAGAGGGAGCCUGAGAAACGGCUACCACAUCCAAGGAAGGCAGCAGGCGCGCAAAUUACCCAAUCC